UGAGGCCAGCGCCCGGGUCGGGGCGUUCUUGUGGCAGAGUCGGUCUUGUUCUUGCGAUCCAGUCCUUUCUGGGACCUAGCACCGAGCGCUCCCCGUGCACCAGGCAGGACAAUGGGCUGCAGGGCUGACCCCGCAACUGCGUGAGUCCACCCUUGCACCGGUUCUGCCCUGGAACUGUUCACAUUCCAGUGCAGACUCCCUGAUGGGCCGCCCAUAUGGAUAAGGAUGAAGUCACAGCAUCCUUUUUGAGGCAGCCUGAGAGUCUAGACUCAGAUUUGCUUACUCGGUUCCCUGCUGUGGUGCAGCAUUGGUGUGUGGGGGCUUUCAGCAGCCGUGAACUUGGGGAAAGCAGCAUGGGGUAGACAUGAGUAAAGAUGUGGGUGGGAGGGUGUGUCUGGAAUCUGAAGGCUCAGAGGCUCCUGUCCAGGAUGCACAUUGCAGGGCGGGGUGGGGGGAGUGGGCCGCCCUGUGGAGAACCUGCUGGACAGGACAGGGGCAAGGCAGAGAGGUCACCCAUCCCACACACUUGUCUGUUCUUCCACUGGUGUGUGCUGGCCCCAGCCUGUUCCAGGGAUUCGGGAAUGGACAGACUGGCUCCUGCCCUCAAACAGCUGACAUACUCUUGAGAGGAGCAGAUAAAAGCCAAGUAAAAACCAAACAAGCAGGAUGGACUGUGAGCAUCUCAUCAUCUGAGGAAGACCCUGGGUGGAGAUCACUGAAGGGUUUCUUCAAGAUAUGGUGGUCCCAGCGGUGUGCCGAUGGAUUCUGGGUGCGGAAUGGUCCUUCAUGGAUGGUGUUUUACCUUGAUUCAAAACUUGAACAGCUUAAAUGCUUAUGCUGAAGAUACUCGCCCAAAUUUUUAAAUAAAGUG
Lontra canadensis (Northern American river otter) is the source of this 871-nucleotide long non-coding RNA. RefSeq lists it as uncharacterized. Lineage: Eukaryota; Metazoa; Chordata; Mammalia; Carnivora; Mustelidae. The record is from RefSeq and is a predicted model, not a curated record. The transcript is spliced from 3 exons.